AAUUCUCAACCUUUCUAAGCUUUUACCUGAAGCUGAGUCAGGCUUGGAUUCUGGGAGCGUGUGCUGGCUCUAGCAAGUCAGCUCUCCUUAAAUUUAUUAGCAAGAUUGAUAGCUGAGCCAUUCAUUGAUAUGAUAAUUAUCUAUAUCAUUGGUGGGAUAGCGUUCUUUAGAUCUAGCUUUCUAAUCGUCCUUAAUGGACAAUUUCUCGAUUC
RNAcentral lists this unclassified non-coding RNA (212 nucleotides) under uncultured Entoloma. RNAcentral describes it as "sequence contains ITS2". Lineage: Eukaryota; Fungi; Basidiomycota; Agaricomycetes; Agaricales; Entolomataceae. The record is from RNAcentral.